AUUGAACGCUGGCGGCAUGCUUUACACAUGCAAGUCGAACGGUAUCAGGCCUUCGGGUGCUGACGAGUGGCGAACGGGUGCGUAAUGCAUCGGAACGUACCCAGAGGUGGGGGAUAACGCAGCGAAAGCUGUGCUAAUACCGCAUGUGAUCUGAGGAUGAAAGCGGGGGACCGAGCAGCAAUGUUUGGCCUCGCGCCUUUGGAGCGGCCGAUGUCGGAUUAGCUAGUUGGUGGGGUAAAGGCCUACCAAGGCGACGAUCCGUAGCUGGUCUGAGAGGACGACCAGCCACACUGGGACUGAGACACGGCCCAGACUCCUACGGGAGGCAGCAGUGGGGAAUUUUGGACAAUGGGCGCAAGCCUGAUCCAGCAAUGCCGCGUGCGGGAAGAAGGCCUUCGGGUUGUAAACCGCUUUUGGCAGGAACGAAACGGUGUCCGCUAAUACCGGGCGCUAAUGACGGUACCUGCAGAAUAAGCACCGGCUAACUACGUG
This 492-nucleotide ribosomal RNA is filed under the name uncultured bacterium. RNAcentral describes it as "partial 16S ribosomal RNA". It matches the Rfam family "Bacterial small subunit ribosomal RNA", at positions 30 to 507 of the family's 1533-position model. The record is from RNAcentral.